AGUGAACGCUGGCGGUGGGCCUAACACAUGCAAGUCGAACGGCAGCACAGUAAGAGCUUGCUCUUACGGGUGGCGAGUGGCGGACGGGUGAGGAAUACAUCGGAAUCUACUUUUUCGUGGGGGAUAACGUAGGGAAACUUACGCUAAUACCGCAUACGACCUACGGGUGAAAGCAGGGGAUCUUCGGACCUUGCGCGAUUGAAUGAGCCGAUGUCGGAUUAGCUAGUUGGCGGGGUAAAGGCCCACCAAGGCGACGAUCCGUAGCUGGUCUGAGAGGAUGAUCAGCCACACUGGAACUGAGACACGGUCCAGACUCCUACGGGAGGCAGCAGUGGGGAAUAUUGGACAAUGGGCGCAAGCCUGAUCCAGCCAUACCGCGUGGGUGAAGAAGGCCUUCGGGUUGUAAAGCCCUUUUGUUGGGAAAGAAAAGCAGCAGGUUAAUACCCCGCUGUUCUGACGUUACCCAAAGAAUAAGCACCGGCUAACUUCGUG
Molecule: ribosomal RNA, 492 nt
Filed under: uncultured bacterium
Lineage: Bacteria
Description: partial 16S ribosomal RNA
Rfam family: Bacterial small subunit ribosomal RNA
Source: RNAcentral